RNAcentral lists this unclassified non-coding RNA (149 nucleotides) under uncultured fungus. RNAcentral's name for it is "sequence contains ITS2". Lineage: Eukaryota; Fungi. The record is from RNAcentral.
CACCACUCAAGCCUCGCUUGGUAUUGGGCAACGCGGUCCGCCGCGUGCCUCAAAUCGACCGGCUGGGUCUUCUGUCCCCUAAGCGUUGUGGAAACUAUUCGCUAAAGGGUGCUCGGGAGGCUACGCCGUAAAACCCCCAAUUUUCCAAA